This 968-nucleotide unclassified non-coding RNA is filed under the name Hevea brasiliensis (rubber tree). Lineage: Eukaryota; Viridiplantae; Streptophyta; Magnoliopsida; Malpighiales; Euphorbiaceae. The record is from RNAcentral.
GGAAGAUUAUUUUGAUGUUAGGACCAACAGGAAAGAGGGGUGUGUCGUUGUCUACACAGUACAAUAAUAAGACAUCCAUAUUUUGGAAAUAAAACAUUGCAAAUGAAUUCACACAGUUUUGGAGGGUGCAUUAGACAUGGAAACAACAUUCACAGAAGCAGGCUGAGGAAGUCCCCAUUUAUCACAGAACUGAUCUUUUUUUGCUGUGAGGGCCAACCGGAAGGAAGGAUGUGUGCUUUAGCGACUCUUCCAUGAUAAAAGGAAGGUGUGGUGGAUUGGGACAAGAGUGUCUUCAAUUGAUAUCGCGUAAAAUUUGGUUAGCAAUGGAAAAAUCAGGAACUAUAUCCACCGGAACCUGAACAGUCUCCAGCUUUUCCAGUGCGUGUUUCAGUGGUGAUGUCAUCACACCAUAUUUCUGAAGAAGUGUUUUAGCAGCUUCUUUGUCACCUCUUGCUUGUAUUGUCAGAAUUUCUCUGCUUAAGCUCGCAACACUAUCUUCAACCUUCCCAAAAUCAACACCAAAUGUUUUAUCGGGAUGCAAAAUAAAUGCGCCUUUCUCGAACAGAUAAUUGAACUGCAAUGCCUGCCCUUUCCCAUGAGCUUCCUCUAAUCCAAAGCGUACUGAGCGGAAACAUCCAGCAAGAAAAGAGACAUACAUUGACUUUGCCAGGUUCUUUGGAAGCAAAUCCUUAUCCAUUAGAAACCUAAGCGCCCAAAGCCCAACAAUAUCUGCCUUUGCUUCUUCUAGUGAUGAAUGAAGUUCUUGCAGCUCUAGUCUGACUGUCGACUUCUGCCCAUUCGGAAGUGUAAUUGUGUGAGGCCCGAUUCCAUGGCAGCAUUCAUGACAAAUUGUGUGAGUAAAGAAAGAGUCGAAGUCCACAAGCUCUCGUUGUUCUUCCAUAAUACAGACAUCAGCUAUAGGCUUAAGGAUAAGCUUGAACUUUGCUUCUGAAACAUUCUUAAGCAUG